Salmo salar (Atlantic salmon) is the source of this 2791-nucleotide non-coding RNA. Lineage: Eukaryota; Metazoa; Chordata; Actinopteri; Salmoniformes; Salmonidae. The record is from RefSeq and is a predicted model, not a curated record.
ACACAGACAAAUCUGAUUCGGUCACUUGUAUCUUGCUGUUUCGACAGUCAGUAUUCCAAAAGGAUUUGAAAAACAUAAGGCAGUGUGAACAAGGCUUUAGAGAUAGGCAGGAUCUAGGAACAACCCUUAGUCCAGCUAUUAAAUCUGCCUGGAUGUAAAGCUCACUGAUUGGACAGAGUCCACACAUCUGGUGUCCCAUUUUCCUGAUUAUAUGGCGAGAAUGAGAGCCAGCAGUACUUAAGUCCUCAAGUGUACAUUUGAACAGACUCACUUUCAGCCAAUUACGACGCAAUCUAAGUGCACACUAGUUAAAAAGUAACAUUUGACAUUUUAAUAUAUAUGGUUAAAUUCUGACACAUCUAUUACAACUUGUUUGUCUUGUUUUAUUUACAGAUCCUUGCAAUACCACCACCAACUGGACCAAUGUUCCCAAGACAGUUGGUCGUUAAAAUCUGGCAUUGCCUGAGCUCCAUUUCGAGACCUGCACGGAGACCGGUAAAGCAGGCAUAAAAGACCUGCAAAGGAGUGGCUACUGGCCUGCCACCAUCAACUUUUGCACCAUCUUCUCAACAGACGUGUUCUCUUCAUAUGAAGAGAUGAAGAUGGCUGCGCCAGGCAUGUCACGACAAGCAUUUUUGACAAUGCCUGACCAGAGGACAGAGCGUUUUGGCAGAUGCCUCAGAUGGUGACAGACACUCCGUAAUGACGGAGCAAGCCGAGCUGCUGGAGGGCCACCAUGAACUGAUGAACCUGGAGUGCUCAUGGAAUGACCUCAUGUAUUAGCAGUACCGAACAGACAACAAGAACACUCACAACAUUAACCUCAUUCCAAACUACUUUGGAAAGGUGCAGAGGCCCUGUCCGACCUGGCCAAGCAGCUGUGGAUAGCGCGCAUUGAGGGUACCCAGUUGUGUCACGCUAGUCGGACAAGAUGUGGCUGAAGGAAUCACAAACCUAAAACUUCAGUUUUACAGCAGCACACUGGCAAUCUGCCAUGGAUGUUGUUUAUAAUUAGGGCCUUGUGUUUUGAGCAAGCAUGUGUCAUAGCAAGACUUUAUCCUGUAUUUUAAGCCUUAUCUAGAAUUGAGAAUUACACCAAAAAUGAAAGCAAUUCCGAGGAUGGUGCUGGACCAUCUGACAUAAAAAGAAAAUAUAUAAAGUUUAAGGAAAAAUCUUUAAUCAAACUGUCCCUGCAUUCAUCUCCUCCCAACUCCCAACUCUCCAGCAUCAACUCAAGCUCUCUCCAUAAACUCCAAAUGUUCCUGACAGCACAUAAUAAUAAUUUGGUGGGGGCUUAUAUUUGUCCUAUUUCACAAUCUACACGUGUGAAUUUGUUUUUUGUUUUUUUGCAUAACGCAACUUGGACAAAUUAAGGCACAUGGACAUAUUUUUUUACCUUGUCGGCCCUCUUUCUGACCUACAAAGCUCUUCACCACCUUGCCCCCAUCUUACCUCUGACGUUCGCCCCGACCUUUUCCCCUACCAACCCACAUGCUCACUCCGUUCUACCACAGCUGGCCACCUUGUUCCACCAAAGCUCUGGAACUCCUUCUCUCCAGCUGUCAUCCCACCCUUAUUUACAUAAAGUUGCCUCAUGAAACAGAAGAUAGACUUCUGCCGUGUGAGCCGUUAUGGCUGGGACAAGGCUAAUUAUAAUGCACCCACUGGUAACGUUAACAAUUUUGCACCAAACUUAAACGUUUAAAGGUUGUUGAUUACAUUUACUUCUUGCAGUCAGUUGUGUAAAGUAAUGAAGUAGAAAUACUUCGUUACUGUACUUAAGUAGUUUUUUGGGGUAUCCGUACUUUACUUUUUUACUAUUUAUAUUUAUGUCGACUUUUACUUUUACUUCACGACAUAAAAAAAUAAAACAAGUAUACUUUUACUCAAAAAUCAAAUCAAUCUGAAGCUGGAAGAGAAAAACGAAUCAUGUUGGAAAAAGAUGCAAGCAACAUCGGCGAGUCGGCACACUCAAUGGGGGAACUUGUUUUGCAAGGCAGCAGGCGACGACAUGCAGAGUUGAGUUGAUCCAAUCCUCAUCAAUUUGGGCAAAUCCAAGGGUCCUAAAGUGUAAACCCCACGCACCGCGAGCCUGUCACUUGCAAAACAGUCAUCCACUCAGCAGCACUUUGCCCAAGCGUGUCCGAAACCGAUCUACCACCACCUCCCGAUGAGGACGAACACCCUUAGCUGUAUCUAAAAUAAAUGUUUUAUUUUUUCGGAAUGAAGGAUUCAUCCUACCCGGAUGAAAUGUCUGUUAUGUUUACCAAAAGUUCAGGAAAUAACGUUACUAGCGUUCAAGAACUCGCCAUCGAACCUAAAAAAAUACAGGUAAAUAUACUGGUAGCUUGCUAGAAUAACGUUAGCAUGCUAGCUAACAUUAGCUAAUCUAGCUAGCCCACAUUUGCUAAUGCAACAAGCAGUGGUAGUUGAUGCUAGCUAAUCUACCUAAAUUGUUCACUAGCUUCGGAAGCUUUGUUAGCUAACGCAAUCUAACUAAACGAGCUAACUAGCUAGUUUAAGCGAACUGGUAGUUUCCGAAUUUGGGCACAUUUUAGACAGCUAACGUUAGUCUAGCCAAAUACCCUUUUCAUGAUUUUCUUUUAUUAUUGAUGACUGUCUUUAGUACAACUGUCUUACACCAUCAUAAAUCCCCCCCAAAACUAUUAACCCAUUAUUUUUGUUCUCAUGUAAUUCUUUAUAUUGCUCAUACCAACUGAGCCAUCAUUUAUGUUUAAAACUGGCUGUCCUUGCAUCCAAAGUUCAAAUAGAAUAAAAUGUACUGUAAAUG